UGGCGGCAGGCCUAACACAUGCAAGUCGAGCGGUAACAGAAAGUAGCUUGCUACUUUGCUGACGAGCGGCGGACGGGUGAGUAAUGCCUAGGGAUCUGCCCAGUCGAGGGGGAUAACAGUUGGAAACGACUGCUAAUACCGCAUACGCCCUACGGGGGAAAGGAGGGGACCUUCGGGCCUUUCGCGAUUGGAUGAACCUAGGUGGGAUUAGCUAGUUGGUGAGGUAAUGGCUCACCAAGGCGACGAUCCCUAGCUGUUCUGAGAGGAUGAUCAGCCACACUGGGACUGAGACACGGCCCAGACUCCUACGGGAGGCAGCAGUGGGGAAUAUUGCACAAUGGGGGAAACCCUGAUGCAGCCAUGCCGCGUGUGUGAAGAAGGCCUUCGGGUUGUAAAGCACUUUCAGUUGUGAGGAAAGGGUGUUGCUUAAUACGCAACAUCUGUGACGUUAGCAACAGAAGAAGGACCGGCUAACUCCGUGCCAGC
RNAcentral lists this ribosomal RNA (486 nucleotides) under marine sediment bacterium ISA-1299. Its description in RNAcentral is "bacterial SSU rRNA". It matches the Rfam family "Bacterial small subunit ribosomal RNA", at positions 37 to 512 of the family's 1533-position model. The record is from RNAcentral.